AUUGAACGCUGGCGGCAUGCCUUACACAUGCAAGUCGAACGGCAGCACGGGUGCUUGCACCUGGUGGCGAGUGGCGAACGGGUGAGUAAUACAUCGGAACGUACCUUAUCGUGGGGGAUAACGCAGCGAAAGCUGUGCUAAUACCGCAUAAGCCCUGAGGGGGAAAGCGGGGGCUCGAAAGACCUCGCGCGAUUAGAGCGGCCGAUGCCUGAUUAGCUUGUUGGUGGGGUAAAAGCCCACCAAGGCGACGAGCAGUAGCUGGUCUGAGAGGACGAUCAGCCACGCGGGGACUGAGACACGGCCCAGACUCCUACGGGAGGCAGCAGUUGGGAAUUUUGGACAAUGGGGGCAACCCUGAUCCAGCAAUGCCGCGUGAGUGAAGAAGGCCUUCGGGUUGUAAAGCUCUUUUGUCAGGGAAGAAACACCGGCUCUAACACAGUCCGGGAAUGACGGUACCUGAAGAAUAAGCACCGGCUAACUACGUGCCAGCCGCCGCGGUAA
Molecule: ribosomal RNA, 501 nt
Filed under: uncultured bacterium
Lineage: Bacteria
Description: partial 16S ribosomal RNA
Rfam family: Bacterial small subunit ribosomal RNA
Source: RNAcentral